CCCGCAGCGCGAUCCGGCGGGGCGAUGGCCGAAGCGAGGCUGGGCUCCGAGCUGCUCGCGGGCGGGCCCGUCCUCCUGGCUGGCCGCCCGCGCCCGCCGCAGGGCCCCCUCGAGGCGGCUCGGGCAAUCGCCGCGGACGGCCCGCGCACUGGGGCCCGGCCGGUCACCUGGUCUCAUCACCCUAACAAUCUCCAGCGCUUCAGGGGUUGGACCCCCUCCCCGCCCCCCAGGGUUCCAGACCAGAAGGACGAGCUCUUAAAACACCCUCCCACCUCGCUGGCUUCCCUAAGCACCUCGGGGGGCCCAGUACUUUAGAGACUCAUCAGUUCCAAGUGCACCUGGAGAGGGAGAAAUGAGAUAUACUGAACCUCCCUAGAGAUCACAAAGGAGCUUCCAUCAGUUUCAAGUGGAUACCAGCAGCUCUUGAUAAUCUCUGAUACUGUUCCAAGAACACACUCACGGAAAACCAGGAUCGUCAGGAAUGAUGGGAAAGCAGAACUCUGUUUUCAGCGCAACCUUCAUCUGAAACCCUGGAUCCAAAGGUGUCCAAGAGGUCAUGAGGGAGACACAGAACCCUGGGAAAUGAUUCUUUAGAAGAAGAUAGAUGGAUGUUUUCCAAAGACCUACUGAAUGGCAACAGGAAACAGACACAUGGCGGCAGCAUCACCGGUGGUGCCACCGGUGAGGCCCUUGGGUUUGAGCGUGAACACAUGCCAAGGCUUGGCCUUCAGAUGUCACGUUCUCGGAGAACUUCAUUGAACCCUGUGCCCUUUCUCUUCUUCUCUCUCCCCAGACAUGCAGCUCCUCACACACACUGGCCAAUCCCAAGCAGGAUCACCUCACUUUUGUUUAUUUAUUUAUUUAUUCAGAUUAAAUAAAAAAACAAAACAGGACCUCACUAUGAAGCCCAUACUGUUCUCAAAAUUCAUAAUUUUCUUACCUCUGCCUCCCAAGUGUUUUUUUUACAGAUGGAAACACUACAGCCUGGCCUGACCCUUGUCUACAUUAUCUCUAGAACUUUCUACGGACCUAUUGGCCAGGUGUAUGUGUAACCUUGAAAAGGACAAUGGAUGCAUAGACUGCUAGACCAACGUUAUUUAGAAGCCUUUUUGAAGAUGUCUCAAGUGCAUCUUGGCAUCUGGAUCAGCACAGCGAGUAAGGACAGCCUUCCCCGAUGCUGCUGUGCAUCCUCCAGUCCCCUGAGUGCUGAGGAGGGACAAAAGACAGAAGAGCAAACGUUCUUUCUUCUUGAGCUUGUGAAUUCAUGUUGUCCUGCCCUUGAACAGAUCGCUUCUGGCUCUUACUACAGCUUCCCUGGCUCUGUAGCUUGCGGGCAGCCGAUGGUGGGGUUUCCUGGCCUCCAUAGUCUAACA
Microtus oregoni (creeping vole) is the source of this 1373-nucleotide long non-coding RNA. RefSeq lists it as uncharacterized. Lineage: Eukaryota; Metazoa; Chordata; Mammalia; Rodentia; Cricetidae. The record is from RefSeq and is a predicted model, not a curated record. The transcript has 5 exons.